UGGAGCUUGGCCCCCACCGAAACAAUCACCACUACCCCUCCGCUACAUAAAAACCGCCUCCUCUGAGACCCUAGCCCCCCCCCCCCCACCUUCCCCAAAGACUACCCCUCUUAUACCCCCAAAAUUCACGCUUAUUCGCCAGCGUGUUAAUAUAGAGAGAUUUUUUUGUUUUCCAAACGUGCAUUAUCGGAGAUUUCAAAAUGGAAGACAGCUACAGGCCGGAGACACCGCCGGGAAGUUGCACUAAUGAGUUGACCCGGUUGAAUUCAAGCGCGUCAUCUUUAACUUUUGCCAAUUCCAACGAUACUUUGCUGCCGAGUGGAAAUGCUACCACGGUAAUAUUUCCUUUUUUUCCGAUUCUGCGGCCGUGUAUAUUUAUGUAUUUGCUUAGAAAUUUUGUGAUGCAGCCGAAAAUCUGCUUAUACUUUGCCUGUGGUACCCGUAACUUAUAAAAUAUAUAUAUUUGACUGAUAUUUAUUUGUUUCAAUUUUCCGAUGUGAUCUUUAUAGCUAGAUGAAAAACUAUGUAGCUACAAUUAUUUUGUUGCUGGAGAAGGAUUGGAGGAAGAAAUUAAAUAAAAAGGUUCACUAAUUUAGAGAUCUAGGUUGAGGAUUUUAUGCGUGAUGUUUGUGCUUAAUUCAACUCUGUUUUAUUUUAUCUGGUUAAGGGAAUAACUAGCAUGAGCUAAGUGUGUUUUUAGAGUUGGAAAAAGUGGAGUGGUGUUUAUUUCUGGUGGAUAAGGAAAAAUGAGUUUUUGUGGCAAGGGUUUCGUCUAUCCUGCAGACUACGGUUUGUGCACUUCUUUCUCUGCUGAGCCUUGAUAUUUCUCCGUUCUGAUCCACCUCUUCUAUCUUGUGGAGAAAGAGGGAGAGGGUUGUCGUUCACUGAAAGCACACGCAAAUGUUGCUUAAUGCUUGUUUAUGGGAUUUUCUGUAAAAUGAGCAUCCUGGCCUGAAGAUAAACAUUAGAGGUUGUAGAUGUCUAGAUGAUCAAUCAUGAAUAUUUAGCUUGUCAUUCCAAAAUAACUAUUUUCAUGUCUACUUAAAAAGAAUUUUACCCGCUUGAGCAUUAAUUGACACUCUGUUGUCAGGGUCUUUAUUGGACACUUCCACCUUUAGAUUCAACUACUCUAUGAAGGCUUGCCUAAAACAUUUUGGGAUGUCAUUAGGGUAAACUUGGUGUAUCUGGCUGAAACUGUCUUGUGCUAGUUGUUUUUGGGAAUAUCAGAUUCUGUAUGCAUUUUCAGUAAUGGACCUAAUGGUUAAUCAGCUGCUAGUAAAAAGAAUUGCAGUUAGUAAGUUCUGGUACCUGAUGGGAGGUAGAAACUACCCAGUGGAAUAGUCGAGGUAGAAGCAAGUUGGCUCGGACACCUAAAAAAGAAGAGGUUACAACAUUGUCAAAGAACCCAAAUUUCUUUAAAUCCAUUACCAAAAAUGUAGCUAUUGAAUGCUCAAAACUUUUGUCACACUUCUUGGUUACCUAUGCAUUAAUCGUGCACAUGCAGCUAAUAUCAAUGAUCUGAAAAUUGAUUCAAUUUUUUUGUUGAAUCUGCAUGUGUGUAUUGUUUUAUAAAUGAUUGUACUAUAAAUUUUGAGAACGGAAUUUCUUCUUCUAAAAGGUGCUCCUGUGGGACUACCUUUCUUCUCAGAGAUUUUAGACCCCCUACGUCUCUAGGCUUUCAUUUAACCGUUAAUCUGAUAGUGCUUGCAAGAUUUACACAUUGUUUGCAUAUAGUGAAUCCACAACAGCGAUCUAAUGAGCACUCCUUAGCAGUUACUUGUUUGGUUCCAGCUGAUGUGAUAAAGUUUGACAUCAAGCAUGCAAAGGGUAACUGCAAAGUAGGGGAACAACUGAGUUAUGAAUUCUUCAGUUCAAGCAUGGAAUUGACUAUCUAUAUUUAAGUGUAUUUCUGUUUAAGUGUGUUUCUAUAGGAUGAUUGAAGUUCAACAUAUUUCUUAAACCUAGCUUUAUUAGAUUUUAAAUGAGAUGCUUUCAGAUUUCCUGAUAGAGAUAUCCUUAUUGUAAGCUUGUACGUGGCGGAUUAAAUUAUUGCAUGCAAUAACUAUUAAAUCAAAGUUCUUGGAGACAGAUUUCGGAUUUGUUUCCUAUUUUCUUGGCGUUGAAAUUUCUCAGAUUUUGGAAUUUUUGUUUCUAAGAACACAUUUCUCGGCUAUAGUUGAGAAGGUUUGAUGUAAAACUUAUGACUCGUUUUGAAGAAAAGUAGGAUUUACAAAAGAUGCUGCUAGUGAAUUAUUCAUGAUACAUUCUAGGACAGCUCACAUUUUUCUUAAGAAACUUAUUGUAUAGAAAUAAUCAGAUUCAUAUUGGAAGAAAUUGCACGUGAAGAAACUUCGUUGGUGUAGAAAGGAAACAAAGAAAGAGUGCAAGCAUACCAGUGAAUUCCUAUUGAUG
Molecule: long non-coding RNA, 2412 nt
Filed under: Nicotiana tabacum (common tobacco)
Lineage: Eukaryota; Viridiplantae; Streptophyta; Magnoliopsida; Solanales; Solanaceae
Description: long non-coding RNA (NTAB_LNC011834)
Source: RNAcentral